Zootermopsis nevadensis is the source of this 923-nucleotide long non-coding RNA. RefSeq lists it as uncharacterized. NCBI's taxonomy places the organism in Eukaryota, Metazoa, Arthropoda, Insecta, Blattodea, Termopsidae. The record is from RefSeq and is a predicted model, not a curated record.
CAUACUCACAGACGCAAUCUACAGGGGGUAGUACUGAACCAUACUUACGACGUCCGAAUACAACCCGUGCGAUCAAUGUCUUGUGUUGUUAGGGAAAUUCAGUCGGUAUUUAUUUUGUUACGGAGGUGUUUGCGUUCCGUUAAAAUCGUCUCUAUUAACUAUCCGUCGAAAUUAUAAGCCAUCAGUGGGAACAUUUAACGUAUAUUCGUACUUAGUAAUCUUUUCCGUAAGGAUGAAUAUGAAUAAUAGAUAUCAUUGAAAGACUUACACAGUGAAAUGUUUCACGAUGAGAAGCUGAGUGUGUAUAUCUUAUUAGUGACGUAGGCAAAAUCUUUUAAAAGAUUUCACGUACUGUGUGUUUGUGUUUUGCCAAUAUAUCCGAGAUUCGUGAUUUUGUUGGUAUAAUUUUGUUAACGCUGUGUGUGUGUUUAAAUGUAGGAAGUAUCUUUGUACUGAUAAGAAGAAAAUCACCUAGUCUUCCCUCUUGUACGAAAGGUGAUAGUGUGUUUAUACGCGUAUAUUCAUUUCUUGGUUCAUUUGUGAUUUCGUAGGUUUUGGUGAUGAGAAAUGGCAUCUUUGUAAUAUCUACGUAAAGUAUAAAAUAAAAUCAAGUAGAGUAUUACGACAAAUUUGUUCUGUGUGACGACAUGAUUCAGAAUUCGACUAAGAAGAUAUAUACCACCAUGUUUAUAUGAGGAAUUAUGGGGGCACUGAAGUGUUCUACAGAAAACGCCACCAGGAAGAUCAAAGGAAGGAAGGAAGGGUCAACUGGGAUUUAGUGGAUAGAACCAACUUCAUAUGUGCGCUGACUACGAGAAUUUGUUAGUUGAAAACAUAAUUAUCGCAGAGCAAAAAAACAUGGGAUCUCUAUUAUGAGCUGGCUCUAAUGCAACGCAAAUAAAAGAAGUGUGUGUCAAAGCGAA